GUUGAGCGGCGCGACGGUCCUGCAGCAGCUAGCCUGGGAUGUACCCACAGCUCACCGGGGAGUCCGGGCCACACGUCAGCUGGAUCUUGAAUGAGAUGAAGACGGGGAGAAAGGGCCUUCCGGACAAAGGGCUUACGCCCUGGAUAAAGGGCGUGGAGGGGCGUGGCACGUUCAGUCUGGACACAGCAUAAAGUGCAUUGGAGAGAGGCGGGAGACAGGAUGGAAAGGAGGGUGGGAAGAGCUAUGAAGCUCCCCAGGGCCUUGCUAACGCGUUUGGACUUUAUCCCGCGCCAGACUUUUUAAAGGUGGUAAGUAGUUUACAGAUGUGCGUUUUGAGGCCAGCACAUUUUGUUGUUGUCGUUUGUUUGUUUGUUUUUCUUUGAGACGGGGUCUCACUCCCAGGCUGGAGUGCAAUAACGUGAUCUCAGCUCACUGCAACCUCCGCCUCCCAGGUUCAAGCGAUUCCCCUGCCUCAACCUGUCGAAUAGCUGGGGCUACAGGCGCCCACCACCACGCCUGGCUAAUUUUUGUAUUUUUAGUGGAGACGGGGUUUCACCACGUUGGCCAGGCUGGUCUCGAACUCCUGACUUCAGGUGAUCCUCCCGCCAAGGCCUCCCAAAAUCCUGGGAUUACGGCCAUCGUGCCGGGCCAGCAGCACAGCGUCUUAAGCAAUUUUGGAUAUGAAUACCUUCGAGACGAGCUUGCGCUCCCACAGACCCCACCACUCCUACAGUCUGUAAUUACCCCCAGCUGCACCCAUAUGCGUAGCUUCCCUGGUCCAGAGGGACGUGCGUGUGUGACCCUGCAGGAUAGUGGGGUGGCCCUGCAUGGCAUGGCUGCCAGUGCUAAGAGGGGUGUGCCGCCAGCCUCUGAUCCCUCUCACCGGCGGGCCCCCCAUCAUCAUCACUAUAUGAUGACCUGAGGCGUCCAGGCUCCCGAGGAAAGCCUGCCGCCCUGGUUCCUACAAGGGACGCCUAAACACAGAGUCCUAAACACAGAGUCCUAAACACAUGCAGGGUUGGAGGGAGACUGACGAACUCAACUACCAGCCUGCAGUCGGCAGCCAUCAGCGGAUUGCAGGUACCCCGCGUGCGUGUCUCGGCUACAGUGCGGAAGACAAGAGGCCUUAGGAAGUGGGAACGGGCGCCAUCUGGUGGUCAUCUCUGGAGUGACAGCAGAGAACUGGAACAUAUUUUAUAUUUUGUUUCCACUGCUCCAUGACUUGACUAAAGCAGAAACAAUUCGGAGAGUACUGUAGUAUUAAAUACCUAAGGGCCACACCAGGCCAGAAAGCAACAAAAAAGAAAUGCUAAAAAGAAGUUCUUCAGAGAGGGAUCCAAGAAGGAAUAAGUGAAGGGCGGUGCUCCAGGUGUGAAUGGAGACGACUUCGAGCUCACUGUGCUGAGAAACUGCUUUUCAGAGGGCUUCUACAGAGCCCACAGGUCAUCUUCUAGAAGUCAUCUAUAGCUACUGUCAGUUUCUAGGCUUCCAAGGACACCCUUCAGCCUACUGCAAUGCAGCUUCUUACCCUACUCCUCCAUGGACAGAUGACAUCCAUUUCUGAAAUCCAGGGGCCACACUUCAAUCUAUCUCAUGAGGUAUCUCUGCUUGGUGGACACCGAUGUUCUCCCUUCCUGAAGACUCUGCUUCUCUGACUUCUGUGAGCAUAGCCUCUUCUGGUCACUCGUUCUCUGGCAUAGACUUCUUCUCUGUGGGCUGGCAGCGAACAGUGGGGCCUUCAGCAUCAUUAUUGCUCAGGUCAGUACAAAGGACCACAUAAGGGAGUAUGAUAGUGAGGAGCCAAGAUCACUCCACAUCUCGAGAAGAGAUGAUAGCAGCCUGGAAUGGUUUGGUGGCCAUGGGAAUAAAGAGAAAGGGACUGAUUUGACAGAUGUUUAAUGGGUAAACAUCACAGGAUUUGGCAAUUGGCUAUGGAAGAUAAAUGGGAGGAAGGAGUCUAGGAUGACUGUUGUGUUUCAUCUUGUUGGGGGGUGACUUGACUAGGCUGAUGACUUUGCUCAAUCCAAUAGGGGAUACAAAAACAGCAAAGACAUGAAAGAGAAGAUGAUGAUAGUGGUAUCCCAGAAAAUGAGAGGGUAACCAACAGCACCAAAAGUCAGGCAAUCAGAUAAACCAGUUUCUAAGCUGAGGAAGGG
This 2156-nucleotide long non-coding RNA is filed under the name Homo sapiens (human). Its description in RNAcentral is "HSALNT0034929". Lineage: Eukaryota; Metazoa; Chordata; Mammalia; Primates; Hominidae. The record is from RNAcentral.